ACAGGAGAUUGCGACGAGGGCGGUCCAAGUUCAGGACGAGGGAUUUAAAAAAGAUCAGAUGUUACCGAUGUGAUGAGUUGGGGCAUCUAACCAGAGAUUACCCUCAAUUUAGGGAUCGGACGAAGAUUACUGCAGCGACGGUCAGUAGCGAUUCAGAGAGUGAUGUCCUGAAAAUAUCUGACAAGAUAUAUAUUUCUUCUCAGCAGUAGAUUUUAAAUUCUAUAUGCACCUAUCAUGUAUGUUGCAGAGGAGUAGUUUGACUCCCUAGAGAACAGUGAGGGCACUGUUUAUCUAUCAGAUAAAUCGAGUUGUGCGAUCAGAGACAUCAAGACGGUCAGCUGAAGGACACAUGAUGGUGCAAUGAGAAGAUUAAUGGAGGUCUGAUACAUAUCCAAUUUUAGAUAGAAUAUUAUCUCACUGAGCAGACUGAAUUCGAGAGGCUACAGGAUAGUAGCUGGUGGAGGAAUCCUGAAGGUGCUACGCGGUGAUAAAAUUAUUCUGGAGGAAAAAAAGAAGAUGAGAGGACAUUACUACUUAACGAGGAGUCCAGUGCGAGAUAGAGCUUCGAGAGCCAAGAGAAGUUCAGAGUGAGGUAGAGCUCCAGGUGGAGGUGGAUUGGGCACGAGAUGUGAGAUUUGGAAGGAUGAGAAGCGAUAUCGCAAGGUGAGAUUUCUAUUGCCGCAGGAUGAUACCCUGAGCAAGUCUCAGAUCAGGAGGAGCACAGCAUACGACGGAGAUGAAAUCGAGCGGUCUGACUCGACUCCCAUAUUUGUCCAUCCAUGAUCAACAGACGAUUGUCCCAGAGCAUGGGGGUGAGGAGAUCCAGAAGCUCUUAGAGUUAGGAGGAGAUCGAAUAUCGAGUCGAGGUGGAGAUUGUUAGGAUUUGAUACUUCGAGAUUUGAUACACAUUGAGUCUAUAGCGAUGUCCGCAACGACGAAAGGAGUCCAACGAGCCCAAGAUCAUCUCAAAUGGAGUUCGGAUGAUCGAGAUACGUUCGAUUGAAGUUGGCACGAAAUUCGGAACGACAGAGGAUUGGCGG
This 1040-nucleotide long non-coding RNA is filed under the name Elaeis guineensis (African oil palm). RNAcentral's name for it is "long non-coding RNA (EGUI_LNC021335)". The record is from RNAcentral. Lineage: Eukaryota; Viridiplantae; Streptophyta; Magnoliopsida; Arecales; Arecaceae.